Molecule: small nucleolar RNA, 70 nt
Organism: Bombina bombina (fire-bellied toad)
Lineage: Eukaryota; Metazoa; Chordata; Amphibia; Anura; Bombinatoridae
Product: small nucleolar RNA U54
Exons: 1
Source: RefSeq, a predicted model, not a curated record
UGGCAAUGAGGAUAAAUAUAUAUUUCUAAUGAAUCUUAAUGAUUGAUUUAUACGCUAUUCUGAGCCAACU